AAAAGGCUUUACCUUUAGUGUACACAGCUGCCAAUUUGAAUGACCCACAUCCAUAAAUUGAAAAAAUUGGAGCCUCACAAAUUCUCAAACGGUAUAAAGCGGGGACCCAGUUGCCACUGCUGAUGAUAAAAAGCCCCUGGUGCAAUAUGUACUUGUCUAGGGUUUCGCUUCAGAAUUGUGACAACUGAAACUGACAAUGGUUUCUUCUACUGUUCUUCAGUUGCGUGUUCAAAAAAUAAAAUAAAAAUAAAACCCAUAAUUCAGCCAUUUUUGUUGAAGUUUUUCAUAAGUUGAGUAAUUAGCUGAAGAAAUUGGAGCCUCCUUUGAUGGCUUAGGUUCAAUUAGAAAAAAUACCGGUUUCCUCCUCACGGGUUCAUUAGAAAAAUGAACCAGUUGGCGCGAGG
RNAcentral lists this long non-coding RNA (404 nucleotides) under Ricinus communis (castor bean). RNAcentral describes it as "long non-coding RNA (RCOM_LNC000237)". Lineage: Eukaryota; Viridiplantae; Streptophyta; Magnoliopsida; Malpighiales; Euphorbiaceae. The record is from RNAcentral.